AACGAACGCUGGCGGCAGGCCUAACACAUGCAAGUCGAACGCUCCGCAAGGGGAGUGGCGCACGGGUGAGUAACACGUGGGAACCUACCUUCUGGUACGGAACAACCAAGGGAAACUUUGGCUAAGACCGUAUACGACCUCCGGGUGAAAGAUUGAUCGCCGGAAGAGGGGCCCGCGUCCGAUUAGGUAGUUGGUGAGGUAACGGCUCACCAAGCCUUCGAUCGGUAGCUGGUCUGAGAGGAUGACCAGCCACACUGGGACUGAGACACGGCCCAGACUCCUACGGGAGGCAGCAGUGGGGAAUAUUGGACAAUGGGCGCAAGCCUGAUCCAGCCAUGCCGCGUGAGUGAUGAAGGCCUUCGGUUGUU
This 368-nucleotide ribosomal RNA is filed under the name uncultured bacterium. RNAcentral's name for it is "bacterial SSU rRNA". It matches the Rfam family "Bacterial small subunit ribosomal RNA", at positions 29 to 427 of the family's 1533-position model. The record is from RNAcentral.